RNAcentral lists this ribosomal RNA (402 nucleotides) under uncultured bacterium. RNAcentral describes it as "partial 16S ribosomal RNA". It matches the Rfam family "Bacterial small subunit ribosomal RNA", at positions 355 to 774 of the family's 1533-position model. The record is from RNAcentral.
UUGGGAAUCUUGGACAAUGGGGGAAACCCUGAUCCAGCCAUGCCGCGUGAGUGAUGAAGGCCUUCGGGUUGUAAAACUCUUUCGACGGGGACGAUAAUGACGGUACCCGUAGAAGAAGCUCCGGCUAACUUCGUGCCAGCAGCCGCGGUAAUACGAAGGGGGCUAGCGUUGUUCGGAAUUACUGGGCGUAAAGCGCGCGCAGGCGGUUUUCCAAGUCAGUGGUGAAAGCCCGGAGCUCAACUCCGGAACUGCCAUUGAAACUGUUGAACUUGAGGACGAGAGAGGUGAGUGGAAUUCCCAGUGUAGAGGUGAAAUUCGUAGAUAUUGGGAAGAACACCAGUGGAGAAGGCGGCUCACUGGCUCGUUUCUGACGCUCAGGCGCGAUAGCGUGGGGAUCAAACA